GGGGGAUAAAUUAAUAAAGUAUAAAUAAUAAAAAAAUUUUUAAUAUUAAAAUAUUUUAAUGGGGGUUAAAGUAUAUUUAAUAGAAAAAAUAAAAAAAUUUAUAGAAAAUUAGUAUUGUAAAAGAAAUUUGAAAUAUAUUGAAAAUAAAUUUAUUUAAAAGUAAAUUUAAUUUAUUGUAUCUUGUGUAUCAGAGUUUAUUAAUAAUAAUUUUUAUAUAUAAAAUUUUCUCGAAUUUAAAAGAGAUAAUUAAUUAUUAAAGUUAAUGUUGUAUAAUUAUUUUAAAUAAUUAAUUGGAAAUGAGAUGUUAAUCGUUUUUAAAUAUAUCUAGUUUUUUUAGAAAAAAAUUUAAUUUUAAAUUUUAAAAAGAAUAUAAUUUUAAUUAAUUAAAAUUAUAUUUUUAAAAUUAAAUAUUUUAAGGGAUAAGCUUUAAAAUAAAUUUUUAUAAUAAAUUUUAACAAUAAUUAAAAUUUUUAAAAUUUAUAUUGUUUAUAAAUUAUAAUUUUUUAUAAAUAAUUUUAAUUAAAUUAAAAUUUUAAAUUUAUUUAAUUUUUUAUUAAAAAAUAUUUUUUAAUAAUUAAAAUUUAGAUAUAAUGAUAAAAUUAGUAUAUAAAUGAAUAAAUAAUAUAGUUUAUUAUUUGAUAAUUUAAUAAAAGGAAUUCGGCAAAAAUUAUAUUCACUUGUUUAUCAAAAACAUGUCUUUUUGGUUAAUAAUUUAAAGUCUAAUCUGCCCACUGAUAAUAUAUUAAAGGGCUGCAGUAUUUUGACUGUACAAAGGUAGCAUAAUCAUUAGUCUCUUAAUUGGUGACUUGUAUGAAAGAUUUGAUGAGAUAUAUACUGUCUCUUUUUAAUUUAUAAAAUUUAAUUUUUUAGUUAAAAAGCUAAAAUAUAUUUAAAAGACGAGAAGACCCUAUAGAGUUUUAUAUUUAUAUAAAUUAAAAUUUUUUAUAAGCUUUAAAAUUUUAAUUUAUAUAAAUAUUUUGUUGGGGUGAUAAAAAAAUUAAAAUAACUUUUUUUAUAAUUUUACAUUAAUAAAUGAAUAAAUGAUCCGUAAUUUACGAUUAUAAGAUAAAAUUACCUUAGGGAUAACAGCGUAAUUUUUUUUUUUAGUUCAAAUAAGAAAAAAAGUUUGCGACCUCGAUGUUGGAUUAAGAUAAAAUUUAAAUGCAAAAGUUUAAAAUUUUUGAUCUGUUCGAUCAUUAAAAUCUUACAUGAUCUGAGUUCAAACCGGUGUAAGCCAGGUUGGUUUCUAUCUUUAGAUUAAUAAAAUAUUUUAGUACGAAAGGAUCAAAUAUUUAAAAUAGUUUUAUUUAAAAGAAUUUUAAUAAUAGUAUAUUUUUAAAUAUG
RNAcentral lists this ribosomal RNA (1344 nucleotides) under Parnassius epaphus (common red apollo). Its description in RNAcentral is "16S ribosomal RNA". The stretch from base 1082 to 1241 matches the Rfam family "Eukaryotic large subunit ribosomal RNA", at positions 2825 to 2984 of the family's 3401-position model. RNAcentral also lists the same sequence under 1 other name. Lineage: Eukaryota; Metazoa; Arthropoda; Insecta; Lepidoptera; Papilionidae. The record is from RNAcentral.